Molecule: transfer RNA, 85 nt
Filed under: Acidimicrobiia bacterium
Lineage: Bacteria; Bacillati; Actinomycetota; Acidimicrobiia
Description: tRNA-Leu
Rfam family: tRNA
About the family: Transfer RNA (tRNA) molecules are approximately 80 nucleotides in length. Their secondary structure includes four short double-helical elements and three loops (D, anti-codon, and T loops). Further hydrogen bonds mediate the characteristic L-shaped molecular structure. tRNAs have two regions of fundamental functional importance: the anti-codon, which is responsible for specific mRNA codon recognition, and the 3' end, to which the tRNAs corresponding amino acid is attached (by aminoacyl-tRNA synthetases). tRNAs cope with the degeneracy of the genetic code in two manners: having more than one tRNA (with a specific anti-codon) for a particular amino acid; and 'wobble' base-pairing, i.e. permitting non-standard base-pairing at the 3rd anti-codon position.
Source: RNAcentral
GCCCGGAUGGCGGAAUGGCAGACGCAGACGGCUUAAACCCGUCGGCCCAAUUACGGGCGUGGGGGUUCGAAUCCCCCUCCGGGCA